Molecule: small nucleolar RNA, 129 nt
Filed under: Octodon degus (degu)
Lineage: Eukaryota; Metazoa; Chordata; Mammalia; Rodentia; Octodontidae
Description: Small nucleolar RNA SNORA42/SNORA80 family (ENSODEG00000024838.1)
Source: RNAcentral
GAAAUGCUUAGAUAAAAUGGAGACAUUCCACGUGGGCCUUCCAUAGAGUGCCAUGCGGGAGCAAAGUGCGCCUCGAACCGUUGCCCGGCCUCUGCUGUGGGCUGAGAGCACUGAAGGGGCGGCACGGUG